RNAcentral lists this transfer RNA (85 nucleotides) under Coleochaete orbicularis. Its description in RNAcentral is "tRNA-Leu". It matches the Rfam family "tRNA". Rfam says of the family: Transfer RNA (tRNA) molecules are approximately 80 nucleotides in length. Lineage: Eukaryota; Viridiplantae; Streptophyta; Coleochaetophyceae; Coleochaetales; Coleochaetaceae. RNAcentral also lists the same sequence under 1 other name. The record is from RNAcentral.
GCGGAUAUGAUGGAAUUGGUAGACAUGCUAGGUUUAGGUUCUAGUGAAUUCGAAACUCGUGGGGGUUCGAGUCCCUCUAUCCGUA